CAGCAGCCGCGGGAAUACGUAGGGUGCUAGCGUUGUUCGGAAUUACUGGGCGUAAAGCGUGCGCAGGCGGUUCGUUAAGACAGAUGUGAAAUCCCCGGGCUUAACCUGGGAACUGCAUUUGUGACUGGCGAGCUAGAGUAUGGCAGAGGGGGGUAGAAUUCCACGUGUAGCAGUGAAAUGCGUAGAGAUGUGGAGGAAUACCGAUGGCGAAGGCAGCCCCCUGGGCCAAUACUGACGCUCAUGCACGAAAGCGUGGGGAGCAAACAGGAUUAGAUACCCCCGUAGUCCCUGUCUCUUAUAA
This 301-nucleotide ribosomal RNA is filed under the name uncultured bacterium. RNAcentral describes it as "partial 16S ribosomal RNA". It matches the Rfam family "Bacterial small subunit ribosomal RNA", at positions 509 to 809 of the family's 1533-position model. The record is from RNAcentral.